CAGUCGCCGCGGUAAUACGUAGGUGGCAAGCGUUGUCCGGAAUUAUUGGGCGUAAAGGGCUCGCAGGCGGACAGUUCAGUCGGGGGUGAAAGCCCGGGGCUCAACCUCCGAAUUGCCUUCGAUACUGGCUGUCUUGAGUAUGAGAGAGGUGUGUGGAACUCCGAGUGUAGAGGUGAAAUUCGUAGAUAUUCGGAAGAACACCAGUGGCGAAGACGACACACUGGCUCAUUACUGACGCUGAGGCGCGAAAGCGUGGGGAGCGAACAGGAUUAGAUACCCGCGUAGUCCCUGUCUCUUAUAC
Molecule: ribosomal RNA, 301 nt
Filed under: uncultured bacterium
Lineage: Bacteria
Description: partial 16S ribosomal RNA
Rfam family: Bacterial small subunit ribosomal RNA
Source: RNAcentral